AGAAAGUAUCUUCAUGGGAACUUAUUGAUACUGCUCUUGUUUUUUUGAUAAAAAAAUGGAAAAAAUGGAAGUUCAAACGGGAACUUCUCAGUACUGUUCAUCUUCCUCGGGUGUAAAACAAGUUCUGACCAAAAAGGUCGGAACUUAAAAUUGGAACUUCGUUUUAGAACUUCACCCCCAAACCUAGUUCUUCUUCUUCUCCUCUUUUCUUCGUUCCCUCUCUUCUCUUCUUCCCGUUCAGCUGCUGAGCUAUCCCUCUCUUCGCAACAUGCCACUAUCUCAGGCAGACUCCUCUCUUCACAUGCAGCCCUCGCUAUUUACUCAGCUGUUCUUGAGCUCUGAUCCUUGCUAUUGAUCUUGAGAUUAUUGUUGAAUGGGCUGAUUUCUUGCUGCUUGCAUGAAUGGGCUGAUUUCUACUGUUUGCGGGAUUUACUUGCGAAACUUCCAAUGAGGCUUUUAUAGUUGCGGUGAAGCACUAUGUCUCAUGCUCUCUCUACCCACCUCCCUUGCAUCACCGCCACCACAACCACCACAUGGCGCUCCCACCACCGCCACCACGACCACCACAUGGCACCCCCACCAUUGCAAGAGCCAUGGAUCUCUUUGGUGCAUGCAGCACCACCCACCAUGCACGCCAGCUCCACACUCUCCUUUUUUGUCUCUGACCGCUUCCGCAACCCCAUCGUCGCCACCAAACUCAUGAGAGGAAGGUGGGGUCGCAACCUUUGAUGGGUCUAGAGGAAGGGUGGGGUCGCAAGAGACAAUAAGGAACUGUGCUUGUGUCAUUUUUGGGGUCCUUCUCGACCUUCGAUGGGCCCUCAGGAACGGUGAGGUCGCAAGAGACAAAUAAGGACCUGUGCAUGUGUCAUUUUUGGGGCCAAUACGUAACCAUUUUUUAUCA
Long non-coding RNA from Amborella trichopoda, 901 nucleotides. RefSeq lists it as uncharacterized. The record is from RefSeq and is a predicted model, not a curated record. NCBI's taxonomy places the organism in Eukaryota, Viridiplantae, Streptophyta, Magnoliopsida, Amborellales, Amborellaceae.